UUAGCUGUGAGUCGCAGAAAACGGCUUCCUCCGCUAAGCUCGUCAAUGGCGGUUCUCAGUCCCUACUUGAACUAGCAUGCGAAUAGUCAACGCCCAUUUUCCCAUCAACAUCCUCAAUUCAUUCUAGUUUUUCCCAUUAUUGGCACCCAUGUUGAAGGUUUUGACAUCCUCAUGUCUGCAAAAUCGUUUCCACGCCGUCACAACGUCGUUUACCCCUCAAGUUCGGCGUGGAACUGAGUCGAAUACGCCAUUGCUUCAGGUUUUAGGUUCCCUAAGAAGUUCAAACAGUAGAGGCCCCUAUUUGUAUCGGCGAUUCUUUUGUUCAGAUUCUACUGAUGGGUCCGAACCGAAUUCCGAAGCUAAACAGGUCGAGGACGAAAUUGAAGUUGGAGAUGCUGAUUCAAAGGCUUCCGCAGCAAUUGUUCCUACUGUAUUUAGGCCUGAAGAUUGCCUAACGGUUCUAGCGCUGCCACUUCCUCACAGACCAUUAUUUCCAGGGGUUUAUAUGCCUAUUUAUGUAAAGGAUCCUAAGGUAUUAGCAGCCUUGGUGGAAAGUCGAAAAAGGCAAGCACCUUAUGCUGGUGCUUUCCUUAUAAAAGAUGAGCAAGGGACUGAUCCUAAUGUUGUGUCUGCAUCAGAUACAGAAAAAAACAUCUAUGAGCUCAAAGGAAAAGACUUAUUUAGCCGUCUUCAUGAAGUUGGUACACUUGCUCAGAUAACAAGUAUUCAAGGAGACCAGGUUAUUCUUAUUGGUCACAGGCGGAUACGUAUGACAGAAGUGGUCAGCGAGGAACCCCUUACAGUGAAAGUUGAUCAUCUCAAGGAGAAGCCAUACAACAAAGACGACGAUGUUAUUAAGGCAACAUCUUUUGAAGUUCUAUCAACCCUACGAGAUGUUUUGAAGACAAGUUCUCUUUGGAAAGAUCAUGUUCAAACUUAUAUCCAGCAUAUUGGUGAUUUCAAUUAUGCAAGGUUAGCAGAUUUUGGAGCAGCAAUAUCUGGAGCCAACCAGCUGCAAUGCCAGCAAGUGCUUGAAGAGCUAGACGUGCAUAAACGACUACAACUUACUCUGGAGAUAGUGAAGAAAGAAAUGGAGAUCAGUAAGAUUCAGGAAUCAAUAGCAAAAGCGAUUGAAGAAAAAAUAAGUGGAGAGCAACGCCGUUAUUUGUUGAAUGAGCAAUUAAAGGCCAUAAAGAAGGAACUAGGUUUGGAGACGGAUGACAAGACAGCUCUUUCUGCAAAGUUUAGGGAAAGACUGGAGCCUAACAAAGAAAAAAUACCGGCUCAUGUCAUGCAAGUUAUUGAAGAAGAACUUACAAAACUGCAACUACUGGAAGCUAGUUCAAGUGAAUUCAAUGUGACACGUAAUUAUCUUGAUUGGUUGACUGCCUUGCCAUGGGGUAGUUACAGUGAUGAGAACUUUGAUGUACUACGGGCAGAAACAAUUCUUGAUGAAGACCACUAUGGGUUAAGCGAUGUUAAGGAAAGGAUUUUGGAAUUUAUAGCUGUGGGAAAACUCCGAGGAACCUCACAAGGGAAAAUCAUAUGCCUCUCUGGCCCUCCUGGAGUAGGCAAAACCAGUAUAGGUCGUUCAAUUGCACGUGCAUUGAACCGCAAGUUCUACCGAUUUUCUGUUGGAGGGUUGUCUGAUGUCGCUGAAAUAAAGGGACAUCGACGGACUUAUAUUGGUGCCAUGCCAGGGAAGAUGGUGCAAUGUUUAAAAAGUGUGGGAACAGCUAAUCCUCUUGUUUUGAUAGAUGAAAUUGAUAAGCUGGGAAGGGGACAUGCUGGUGAUCCAGCUAGUGCUAUGUUGGAGCUUCUUGAUCCAGAACAGAAUGCAAAUUUCUUGGAUCAUUAUCUUGAUGUCCCUAUUGAUUUAUCAAAGGUUUUGUUUGUCUGCACAGCCAAUGUCUUGGAAAUGAUACCUAAUCCUCUUUUGGAUAGAAUGGAGGUAAUUGCAAUUGCUGGUUACAUUACUGAUGAGAAACUGCACAUAGCCCGGGAUUAUUUGGAAAAAAGUACCCGUGAAACAUGUGGGAUCAAGCCUGAACAGGUUGAAGUGACUGAUGCAGCUCUUCUCGCUUUAAUAGAAAAUUACUGUAGAGAAGCCGGUGUUCGCAAUCUGCAGAAGCAAAUUGAAAAGAUUUAUCGCAAGAUAGCUCUAAAGCUUGUUAGGAAGGAUGGCAAGAUUGAGCCCCAGAAUGCAGGGGUAAAUGAGGUAAAAGCAGAAUCUGUCCAUAUAUCAGACGAAAUCAAGUCUAAGGAAGAAACUCAGGCUGGAGCUAAGUCUGUAGAGGGUACCAAUGAUGACAAGCCCUCUGAAAAUGUUGCUGAAUCUCUGGAAGCACCAGUAAACCAAAUGCAGAAGCCUAUUGAUGAAGAUACUCAUUUACAGGAAGUUGAGGAAGUUACAGAAAGUGAAGCAAGUAAAACAAUAGAAAAAGUGGUUGUGGACUCACCAAACCUAGCUGAUUAUGUUGGCAAACCUAUUUUCCAUGCUGAGCGCAUAUAUGAUCAGACCCCAGUUGGAGUUGUGAUGGGUCUUGCUUGGACUUCAAUGGGUGGCUCAACACUCUAUAUAGAAACGUCUUUGGUGGAGCAAGGAGAAGGAAAAGGGGCUCUCAAUGUAACAGGACAACUAGGCGACGUUAUGAAAGAAAGUGCCCAAAUUGCCCAUACGGUUUCCAGGAUCAUUUUGCAGGAGAAGGAGCCUGAUAACCACUUCUUUGCAAAUAGUAAGCUUCAUCUUCAUGUUCCUGCGGGUUCUACCCCUAAGGAUGGCCCUAGUGCUGGUUGUACUAUGAUAACAUCCUUGUUGUCUCUUGCCAUGAAAAAGCCUGUUAAACCUUACCUGGCAAUGACCGGGGAAGUCACGCUAACUGGAAAAAUUCUUCCCAUCGGCGGGGUCAAGGAGAAAACCAUAGCAGCACGGCGAAGUGAUGUGAAAACUAUAAUAUUCCCUUCAGCUAAUCGAAGAGAUUUUGACGAGCUUGCUCCUAAUGUCAAGGAAGGCCUUGAUGUACACUUUGUGGAUGAGUACAAGCAAAUAUAUGAUUUGGCAUUUUGACAGCUAUAGUAUAGAAUAUUUAAGUUGCUCUUGGAGACGAAUUGUCCAGCAGUAGGCUGAGUUCGCCAUCUCAUUCAUUCUGGUCCUUAUUCCCGGAGAUGUAGUUUUGUUUUGCUCCUUGUCACAACAAGCAACUUUGAUUUUUUUCACACACCAUCGUAUCACAUAAUUCAUAUAUCUCAAGGAGAUAAAUUUUACCUUUUGCCAAGAAUAAAGGCAAAGAUACAAAAGAAGGGAAGAGACAGAGAACACAAAAGAAACCUUUUCUUAGGUUUUGUUGACGUUGGGCAGUUGUUCUUUAUGUUAGCUGUCUAAUCAGCGACCAGUGUGCAAGCAUGACACUGAUGAUUUCAUCAAUUAAUUAUCAUCUGUUGUGCUCAUGCUCAAAUUUGUUAAUCUUAUAUCUAUCUAUCUAUCUAUCCUAUAUUAAAAGCAUAAAGGUCCACAGAAAUCUUGUUUGAACUUUUUGCCAUUCAUUAAAAGACUUUGCUUUAGACAAUAAUCUUUUCACCAUUUUUCUCAAAUUAUUAUUUAAUUUUAUU
Solanum stenotomum is the source of this 3609-nucleotide RNA transcript. It is a transcript of the gene named lon protease homolog 1, mitochondrial-like, with no coding region annotated. NCBI's taxonomy places the organism in Eukaryota, Viridiplantae, Streptophyta, Magnoliopsida, Solanales, Solanaceae. The transcript has 21 exons. The record is from RefSeq and is a predicted model, not a curated record.